This 212-nucleotide non-coding RNA is filed under the name Bacillus glycinifermentans. Its description in RNAcentral is "T-box sequence". It matches the Rfam family "T-box leader". Rfam says of the family: Uncharged tRNA acts as the effector for transcription antitermination of genes in the T-box leader family. T-boxes are found upstream of many aminoacyl-tRNA synthetase genes and some amino acid biosynthetic genes usually in Gram-positive bacteria. The record is from RNAcentral. Lineage: Bacteria; Bacillati; Bacillota; Bacilli; Caryophanales; Bacillaceae.
GCAAGAACAGUGAAGAGGAGCAGUAAGAAGCCCCAUCUGUCACAGAGAGUUGACGGCUGGUGAAAGUCAAUCAGGUUGGGCUUCCGAACUCGCCUCAGAGUUGCAGCAGUGAUGAGCUGCUGCCGUGCAUCUGCGUUAAAGAUAUCAAGUGAGUGUAUGAAUGUACACUAACAAGGGUGGUACCGCGGGAAGUCGAAUCUCUCGUCCCUUUU